RNAcentral lists this ribosomal RNA (389 nucleotides) under uncultured Pseudomonas sp. RNAcentral describes it as "bacterial SSU rRNA". It matches the Rfam family "Bacterial small subunit ribosomal RNA", at positions 993 to 1382 of the family's 1533-position model. The record is from RNAcentral. Lineage: Bacteria; Pseudomonadati; Pseudomonadota; Gammaproteobacteria; Pseudomonadales; Pseudomonadaceae.
GAACUUUCCAGAGAUGGAUUGGUGCCUUCGGGAACUCUGACACAGGUGCUGCAUGGCUGUCGUCAGCUCGUGUCGUGAGAUGUUGGGUUAAGUCCCGUAACGAGCGCAACCCUUGUCCUUAGUUACCAGCACGUUAUGGUGGGCACUCUAAGGAGACCGCCGGUGACAAACCGGAGGAAGGUGGGAUGACGUCAAGUCAUCAUGGCCCUUACGGCCUGGGCUACACACGUGCUACAAUGGUCGGUACAAAGGGUUGCCAAGCCGCGAGGUGGAGCUAAUCCCAUAAAACCGAUCGUAGUCCGGAUCGCAGUCUGCAACUCGACUGCGUGAAGUCGGAAUCGCUAGUAAUCGUGAAUCAGAAUGUCACGGUGAAUACGUUCCCGGGCCUU